GAUGAACGCUGGCGGCGUGCCUAACACAUGCAAGUCGAGCGAUUCUCUUCGGAGAAGAGCGGCGGACGGGUGAGUAACGCGUGGGUAACCUGCCCUGUACACACGGAUAACAUACCGAAAGGUAUGCUAAUACGAGAUAAUAUACUUUUAUCGCAUGGUAGAAGUAUCAAAGCUCCGGCGGUACAGGAUGGACCCGCGUCUGAUUAGCUAGUUGGUAAGGUAACGGCUUACCAAGGCGACGAUCAGUAGCCGAGCUGAGAGGGUAAUCGGCCACAUUGGAACUGAGACACGGUCCAAGCUCCUACGGGAGGCAGCAGUGGGGAAUAUUGCACAAUGGGCGAAAGCCUAAUGCAGCGACGCCGCGUGAGCGAUGAAGGCCGUCGGGUCGUAAAGCUCUGUCCUCAAGGAAGAUAAUGACGGUACUUGAGGAGGAAGCCCCGGCUAACUACGUGCCAGCCGCCGCAGUAA
RNAcentral lists this ribosomal RNA (468 nucleotides) under uncultured bacterium. RNAcentral's name for it is "partial 16S ribosomal RNA". It matches the Rfam family "Bacterial small subunit ribosomal RNA", at positions 28 to 523 of the family's 1533-position model. The record is from RNAcentral.